CAGCUACUCCCUCCGUCCCAAAAUAAGUGUCUCAAGCUUAGUACAACUUUGUACUAAAGAUAGUACAAAGUUGAGACACUUAUUUUGGGACGGAGGGAGUACAAU
This is a non-coding RNA of Triticum aestivum (bread wheat), 105 nucleotides long. Lineage: Eukaryota; Viridiplantae; Streptophyta; Magnoliopsida; Poales; Poaceae. The record is from Rfam.